GAUCAAGCGCAUAAGGGCUUCUGACGGAUGCCUUGGCAUUGAGAGGCGAUGAAGGACGUGGCACGCUGCGAUAAGAGCCGGGGAGGCGCGAGCACCCUUUGAUCCGGCUAUCUCCGAAUGGGGAAACCCACCUUUAUGGUCACCCAACUUAGUCUAGCCUUCGGGCUAGGCCAGGAUUGGAUGGUCAGAAGAGGUAUAAUGGGCUGAAUACAUAGGCUCCAUUAAGCAAACCCGGGGAACUGAAACAUCUCAGUACCCGGAGGAAAGGACAUCAACCGAGACUCCCGUAGUAGUGGCGAGCGAACCGGGACCAGGCCAGUGCUGUCGUGACAUAAAGCUGAACGACUUGGAAAGGUCGGCCAUAGUGGGUGAUAGCCCCGUAAGCGUCAAAUAGCGACAGACUCGAGUAGGGCGGGACACGUGAAAUCCUGUCUGAACAUGGGGGGACCACCCUCCAAGCCUAAGUACUCCUCAAUGACCGAUAGUGAACAAGUACCGUGAGGGAAAGGUGAAAAGCACCCCGACAAGGGGAGUGAAACAGAUCCUGAAAUCGGAAGCCUACAAGCAGUCGGAGCCACCGCGCGUGGUGACGGCGUACCUUUUGUAUAAUGGGUCAGCGACUUCAUGUGCCGUGCAAGCUUAAGCCGUUAGGUGUAGGCGCAGCGAAAGCGAGUCUGAAUAGGGCGAAUAAGUACGUCGCAUGACGACCCGAAACCAGGUGAUCUAUCCAUGAGCAGGUUGAAGGUAAGGUAACACUUACUGGAGGACCGAACCGGUGAAUGUUGAAAAAUUCUCGGAUGACUUGUGGAUAGGGGUGAAAGGCCAAUCAAACCUGGACAUAGCUGGUUCUCCGCGAAAACUAUUUAGGUAGUGCCUCGGACGUAUUCCUUGGGGGGUAGAGCACUGAAUGGAUGCGGGGGGAGCGAUCUCUACCAAUUCUAAUCAAACUCCGAAUACCCAAGAGAACUAUCCGGGAGACACACGGCGGGUGCUAACGUCCGUCGUGAAAAGGGAAACAACCCUAACCAUCAUCUAAGGCCCCCAAGUUCUGGCUAAGUGGGAAACGAUGUGGGUUUGCUUUGACAACCAGGAUGUUGGCUUAGAAGCAGCCAUCAUUUAAAGAAAGCGUAACAGCUCACUGGUCAAGCGAACCUGCGCGGAAAAUGUAACGGGGCUCAAGCCAGACGCCGAAGGUAUGGGUGUGCGUAAGCACGCGGUAGCGGAGCGUUCCGUAAGCCGUUGAAGGUGAGGCGCGAGCCUUGCUGGAGGUAUCGGAAGUGAGAAUGCUGACAUGAGUAGCGAUAAAGAGUGUGAGAGACACUCUCGCCGAA
Molecule: ribosomal RNA, 1331 nt
Filed under: Caulobacter sp. HMWF025
Lineage: Bacteria; Pseudomonadati; Pseudomonadota; Alphaproteobacteria; Caulobacterales; Caulobacteraceae
Description: bacterial LSU rRNA
Rfam family: Bacterial large subunit ribosomal RNA
Source: RNAcentral